AACGAACGCUGGCGGCAGGCUUAACACAUGCAAGUCGAACGCUCGUAGCAAUACGGGAGUGGCGGACGGGCGAGUAACGCGUGGGAACGUGCCCUGAGGUACGGAAUAACUGAGGGAAACUUCAGCUAAUACCGUAUGAGCCCCGAGAGGGGGAAAGAUUUAUCGCCUUGGGAGCGGCCCGCGUCGGAUUAGCUAGUUGGUGGGGUAACGGCCUACCAAGGCUUCGAUCCGUAGCUGGUCUGAGAGGACGAUCAGCCACACUGGGACUGAGACACGGCCCAGACUCCUACGGGAGGCAGCAGUGGGGAAUCUUGCGCAAUGGGGGCAACCCUGACGCAGCCAUGCCGCGUGAACGAUGAAGGCCUUAGGGUUGUAAAGUUCUUUACCCGUGACGAUGAUGACGGUAACGGGGAUAAGCUCCGGCUAACUUCGUGCCAGCAGCCGCGGUAAU
Molecule: ribosomal RNA, 451 nt
Filed under: uncultured bacterium
Lineage: Bacteria
Description: bacterial SSU rRNA
Rfam family: Bacterial small subunit ribosomal RNA
Source: RNAcentral